GGUUGUUAAUUUAAACAUAUUUAUUUUAUUUCGGUUGCUGUUGUUGGUUGAUCUGGCCUAUUGUAUGUCUAAUACAGUCAUUCAUGUUACUUUUUUUUAAGUAUUAUAGCAAAAGUUCUUUACAUGUGAACAGUCAUAUCCUUGCAGGUUACAGUAAUAAUAAACUUGUAUGGCAUUCAUAAGCAGCAAAUAUUCCGGUUUAU
This 203-nucleotide long non-coding RNA is filed under the name Mytilus galloprovincialis (Mediterranean mussel). The record is from RNAcentral. Lineage: Eukaryota; Metazoa; Mollusca; Bivalvia; Mytilida; Mytilidae.